Leptidea sinapis is the source of this 2268-nucleotide long non-coding RNA. RefSeq lists it as uncharacterized. The transcript has 2 exons. NCBI's taxonomy places the organism in Eukaryota, Metazoa, Arthropoda, Insecta, Lepidoptera, Pieridae. The record is from RefSeq and is a predicted model, not a curated record.
AGAUAAAGUCUUGUAUGCAACUGUUGAUAAUUAGGUAUAAAAACACUCAUGUGAUACUACCCGCAUUCGUGUUUUAAUACCCCUUAUUACACAACAGUUACAUAAAUAACUAUAAUAUAUUAUGCUGUAAUUCAGUAUACUUAACAGUUUUAGUUGGGUCUAUUGCUGAAUUUAAUACUAUGCACUGGAGUAAAAAAAACUUUGAAUCUUAGUCACAUUAAAUAUGAUCACCAGUCAUUAUAAGUCAUUUAUACAUAUAACUGGAUAUAUAAUUAAUGUAACGAGUUUGAUGACGUACACAUUCGUAUAUCACACGACGAUUUUCAAUACAGUUGUUAUAUUAGAAAACGUAAACAUAAUAUAAUUCAUAUUCAACAUUAUUUUAGGAAAUGGCGCGUUCUUGCGACAGGACUUUUUUUUACAAUGAAACUAGGCAAGGGGUCGUACGCGUAAAACUGUCUAUUCGAUUUUUGACAAAUGUUGAUGUGAAAAUAAUUAUUAAUAUAACAAGUAACCAUUUAAAAGAAUUUGCGAAUUCAGUGCUAAGACGGACGUAUAUACUUAGAAGAAGGAGCCUGUAUAAAAGAUUUAAAUUUCGAAUCAUAAUUGGAAGUAAUUCCAGAAAAACGUUCCAAACCACAACCAUGUCGAAAUUGAGUUAAGAACACAAAACUGGUCACAUGAUUCAUAUUAAAAAUGACAAAAAAUGGCAGUCCUAUUGUCACUCUUUAAAUGACAUCAUGUCUUAGUAGCCCAACUCACAUGUAUGGAAUACACUUAUAUUUAUUAAACUUUAAACACGAAUUUCUUAAAAUGUGAUGGUUGUGGCCUGGAACGUUUUUUGGAAUUACGUCCAAUUACAGCCUCUGAAACUAGGUAAGUCAUGUUUUUAACAACUGUAUUGAAAUUGAUUUUAAAUCACCUGCUUAUAUUUCAUAUGAAACAAACUUUAGUUUCCAGUCAGACAGCUCAAAAAUUAUUUAUAUAAAAUAAUAUAAAUUUUGAUUUAACAUAAUAAUAUAAUUUAUUUUAUAAAUUUAUGACUUAAACCUUAUUUGUUAUAUUAUAUGAAAUUUGUAUGUAUAAGAUAAAAACUUUUCACUCUCUCAAUUCGGACCAAUUUGCACUCACAUAAGGAAUUUUCAUUCAAUAUCGAAUCGGUAGGUACUUUCGAAGUUAAUCGAGAAUAAAAUUUUUAUAUCUAUAGAUAUUAUAUAUAGAAAAGGUUUAAUUUUAAUGAUGAACAACUUCAUUACGUACUUACCUACUUUUCAAGAUAACGCAACAAUUACGAUAGCUGUCUUGUCAAUAAAGAGAGCACAUUAUGAAAGUGUUUUUUUAAUUUAUAAUAUAUCUAAAUAUGUUACGUUUUUAAAGUGAUAACCCUCACUUCUAGGAUUAAUACACAAAUAAAAUUUGAUAAACAAAAUUUUAUGAACGAUGCAGGAUUGCGGGAUGCGACUCUCGGGUGAGAGUUGAACAAAGCAAACAGAAUUUUAUAACGAGGCGGUACUCGAACGGUUAGCUCAUUUGGUUAGAGCACCGGCACGGAACGCCGGAGGUCGUGGAUUCGAAUCCCGCAUCGUUCAUAAAAUUUUGUUUAUCAAAUUUUAUUUCUUUAUAAUAUAUUACAAAAAAUAUAUAAUAUUUAUAUACCGAACAGGCGCUACUUGUGGCGACUGUUACCAGUAAUUCUGCUCCAUGAAAAUUAAAGUUAUUAUAUUUUUUAUGAUCGCUAAUAAAAUGCUCGCACAAUAAAUACCUUUAUUUAUUUACUGUGUACGUAGAUUGAUUGUACUCAAUAACUAUGGAAUUUUUACUUAUUAAUUUACAUUUACUUUUUUUUUACUUACUCGUGUAGGUAAGGCAUAAAGUAUUUGACGUUUGAGUUUUUGUUGGAUAUCUUUUUAUUGUAAUAAUUUGUAAAAUUAUGAGGCUGUAAAUGUUGCUUUAAAAGAGUGGCAAUGCGUUUCUUACGACUUCUUCUCAUUAAAAUUGAACCUUUUCCGAAGUGGUUGUAAUGUAAAAAUAAAACUUUUGACAUUCAUAAGUGGAAUUUCCUUGACCUGCAUGAAUAAAGUGUUUUUGAUUUGAUUUGAGAGACAUAUAUUGUUACACCUAUAUUAUGUGACGGGACAAUUCAACAUGUAAAUAGAUAGAAGUUUAAUUAUUUUUUGUUGUAAUGUUUUAAAUAUGAAUAAGUGCUUAAAGUGGGACUGUUUUUUGUAUUACAUACGUAUAAAUGUUUAAUAAAUAAGUAAAAUGUUA